RNAcentral lists this ribosomal RNA (726 nucleotides) under uncultured bacterium. RNAcentral's name for it is "bacterial SSU rRNA". It matches the Rfam family "Bacterial small subunit ribosomal RNA", at positions 94 to 823 of the family's 1533-position model. The record is from RNAcentral.
AGCGGCGAACGGGUGAGUAACACGUAGGUGAUCUGCCCAUCAGACGGGGACAACGAUUGGAAACGAUCGCUAAUACCGGAUAGGACGAAAGUUUAAAGGUGCUUCUGGCACCGCUGAUGGAUGAGCCUGCGGCGCAUUAGCUAGUUGGUAGGGUAAAGGCCUACCAAGGCGACGAUGCGUAGCCGACCUGAGAGGGUGAACGGCCACACUGGGACUGAGACACGGCCCAGACUCCUACGGGAGGCAGCAGUAGGGAAUCUUCGGCAAUGGGCGAAAGCCUGACCGAGCAACGCCGCGUGAAUGAUGAAGGCCUUCGGGUUGUAAAAUUCUGUUAUAAGGGAAGAACGACUUUAGUAGGAAAUGGCUAGAGUGUGACGGUACCUUAUGAGAAAGCCACGGCUAACUACGUGCCAGCAGCCGCGGUAAUACGUAGGUGGCGAGCGUUAUCCGGAAUUAUUGGGCGUAAAGAGCGCGCAGGUGGUUGAUUAAGUCUGAUGUGAAAGCCCACGGCUUAACUGUGGAGGGUCAUUGGAAACUGGUCGACUUGAGUGCAGAAGAGGGAAGUGGAAUUCCAUGUGUAGCGGUGAAAUGCGUAGAGAUAUGGAGGAACACCAGUGGCGAAGGCGGCUUCCUGGUCUGUAACUGACGCUGAGGCGCGAAAGCGUGGGGAGCAAACAGGAUUGGAUACCCUGGUAGUCCACGCCGUAAACGAUGAGUGCUAAGUGU